Microcebus murinus (gray mouse lemur) is the source of this 111-nucleotide unclassified non-coding RNA. It matches the Rfam family "Y RNA". From Rfam's summary of the family: Y RNAs are components of the Ro ribonucleoprotein particle (Ro RNP), in association with Ro60 and La proteins. The Y RNAs and Ro60 and La proteins are well conserved, but the function of the Ro RNP is not known. In humans the RNA component can be one of four small RNAs -- hY1, hY3, hY4 and hY5. NCBI's taxonomy places the organism in Eukaryota, Metazoa, Chordata, Mammalia, Primates, Cheirogaleidae. The record is from Ensembl.
AGCUGGUCGGAAGGUAGUGUGUUAUCUCACUUGAUUGUUCACAGUCAGUUGCAGAUUGAACUUGUUCUACUACCUUCCCCCCUCCUCACUACUGCACUUGACUAAUCUUUA